This is a long non-coding RNA of Pyrus x bretschneideri (Chinese white pear), 1881 nucleotides long. RefSeq lists it as uncharacterized. Lineage: Eukaryota; Viridiplantae; Streptophyta; Magnoliopsida; Rosales; Rosaceae. The transcript has 3 exons. The record is from RefSeq and is a predicted model, not a curated record.
AUUUUUGUUUCAUUAAGGGUAAAUUAGGAAUUCUGAUUGACAAAAAAGUAUACUGGUUGACAUUUUUUUAAUUUAAAAACUAGGUAAUUAGGUGUCUGGUUUUUAUUGGUUAGGAACACCAGCUGGUGUACCCAGUACCCAGUAAAAUUUCUCCUCUCUCAGAAACCUUAUUUUCUCACAAACCUCUCUUUGCCUUCUCUCCUAUCUCCGCUUCCCUCUGUGCCUUCCUUUCUUCCAGAAAACGCUCGAGUUAGUUAAAUUGUAGUUAAUUGAUUUAGAUCUUUUCAUCGGGGGUUACAAUCGGCAACGCUCUCUUGCUGAAAAUAGCGAAUUUGGUCUCGAUUUGAAGAAAAUUUGAAGCCCAUAAAAGAUUGCAUCUCCUACUGCCGAUUUGAUUUGGGAGCUGGGGUUUUUCGAAUUUGUGACUUUUCGUUGAAGUCUGCAAAGACCUCUGUGUUUAAUCUGAAGUAGCUAAAGUUAAGAAAGAACAAUUGUGGCUUAAAGUCUUGAUAAGUUGAAUCUCAGUUCGAUUCUACCAACAGCCGCAACCGUUCAGACUUUGAUAUUGGUUUUGAAAAUAGUGAAAACACCAUAAAACAAACUGAUUUUCUCAACCGAAGAUUAUGAUAUAUGUUUCUAAGCGGUUGGCCUGUGGAAAGUAAAAAACAAACUGAGCAAUUAUAAGAUUUGACCAAGUAAAUGGUUUCGCAUUUGGUUAUUUAGGAUAAUUACAUGCGUGAGGAUUAUUAAAUGAUAUAUUUGAUAAAUUCGUCUAAUUUUAUGGUAGGAGGCUUUAGAUUAGAACUCACUUUAUGGUUUUGCAUUAGAAGACAAUCUGUACUUAACUUAUUAAGCAAGUCUGGAGGAAAUCUGCUCUUAGUUGAUGCUCUGUCUCCGUCUUUUUUGCCUGCUUUAAUAUGCUUUCUUCUGAUUUCUAAUUUUUAAAAUUUUUUAUUUUUGUUUUAUUAAUUUUAUUCGGAAGAUUUUCACAGAAUGGCUUCAAUUGAGUUAGGUUUUGUUCAAUUUAAUCUCAUUAGUUUCAUUCCAAUUCAAUGAUUUUGUGUAACACUGAGUUUUCUAUUGGAGAAUAAAUUUUCUUCGUAGUUCAUUCUAUUUUGUUUUAUUUUCUGAUUUGGAUUUUGAAAUCGAGACUCCUAGCUUUGCCCUCAUCAAGAAUUUUUUUAGUAAAAUGCAGGUGCAGAAUGAAUGACCAAUCAAUGUGGGAGAAGCUUUUAAUUUUUUUGGGUUCAAUUUUAAAUGGGUUGUUAUCAACCAUUGAAUUGCUUUUGGAGUUUUCAUUUGAUAAGAGAGAUGGGGGGGUUCUUUUGGGUGAAACUUUUGAUCCGUGAGAUUUUUAGUUAGGUUGUGUUGUGGGUUUUCGCAAAUUUCUACCGUGUUUAUGCAUGCAUUUUUUGUUAUAGAUUUGGAAGAAAAUAGUAUUACAAGGUGUUGAGGGUUUGUUGGCGGGGGAAGGCAGCAGCGUUAAGAUUUUGCCGGUGAGAUAUUAGGGUGAGAGAAAAAGGGGACAAAGAGCAUCGAAGACACAUUUGGGAUUAGGGGUAGCAAAACAGGGGAAAAGAAUAUGACAGAGGAAUGGACUCUUAAUUUUUUCUUAACUGGUUUGGGAUUUUGCUUGCUUUUGGGGUCGUCGUUGGCGUCAAGCCAUUUGGUGUCAAGCGGUGUCUGUUUUUCAUAACUUUUAUUACUAAUUUUUAUGUCAUUUGCGAUUUUGUAUCCUAGGAUUUCUGAAUUUUAUCGUUCAUUGUCGGUUUUUAAUUUUUUUUUUCUCUUCGUUUGUUUGUUUAAUAUGUUGUGCUUGUGCUGGGACGCCGUUUUGCAAGUUCUCUUUCCAUUGGGACAGCUGCAUUUUUAAAGUGUUGA